GUGACAGGGAUUAGAUACCCCAUUAAUUCAAGUGAUAAAUUAUGGCUUAUUGUAGAUUGGAUCUAUUUUUAACAAAUCAAGGUUCUUAACCUAAGGAGUACGCUUUCACUUGUGAAACUUAAAUGUUCUGGUGGUGGUUUCGAACAAUAGUGGAAUAGAUGAUUUAAUUCGAUGUUAUGCGAUAAAGCUUAUCAGUUAUCUGAAAGAAUACCUAGGUAUAGGUAGAAUUCUAUUUUAGGUAGUGCAUGGCUGUUGGAGGGGAAUGUUUUGUAAUCUCUGGUUUCGGACAGGAAUAGGCUCAACACUUUUAGAGUUCUGAAGGUUAGAUAGAAUAACGUCGAGUCAUUAUGCUCUUUUGUUCAGAGAUAUUCAUGUGUUACAAGGAGAGCUAUAUAGCUACUUAUUUUUGAGUGUUACAAAUAUUAUCAUCCUAAUUGAAAAUUGAAAUGUUUUUAUAAAGGAGGAAUUAUUAGGAAUCUUUGGUUAGUUAUUUAAAGGUGGACAGGAGAUAAAUUUUGCACAUACCGCCCGUCAAGCAAAAAGCAGAGAUAUAGAUGAAAACAGCAAAGCACACAAGUGUAAAAUUUAUAAUACAUUUGUGUUAAGUCGAAACAUGGUUGCUCAUCAGGAAUGAUGAGCUGGA
This 643-nucleotide ribosomal RNA is filed under the name Alexandrium tamarense. RNAcentral's name for it is "partial Bacterial small subunit ribosomal RNA". It matches the Rfam family "Bacterial small subunit ribosomal RNA", at positions 768 to 1522 of the family's 1533-position model. The record is from RNAcentral. Lineage: Eukaryota; Dinophyceae; Gonyaulacales; Pyrocystaceae.